RNAcentral lists this ribosomal RNA (524 nucleotides) under uncultured bacterium. RNAcentral describes it as "partial 16S ribosomal RNA". It matches the Rfam family "Bacterial small subunit ribosomal RNA", at positions 28 to 523 of the family's 1533-position model. The record is from RNAcentral.
GACGAACGCUGGCGGCGUGCCUAAUACAUGCAAGUCGAGCGCAGGAAACUGACGGAACUCUUCGGAGGGAAGGCAGCGGAAUGAGCGGCGGACGGGUGAGUAACACGUAAGGAACCUGCCUCAAGGAUUGGGAUAACUCCGAGAAAUCGGAGCUAAUACCGGAUAGUUCAUCGGACCGCAUGGUCCGUUGAUGAAAGGCGCUUCGGCGUCACCUUGAGAUGGCCUUGCGGUGCAUUAGCUAGUUGGUGGGGUAACGGCCCACCAAGGCGACGAUGGAGGGCCGACCUGAGGGGUAGAUCUGCCACACUGGGACUGAGAAACGGCCCAGACUACUACGGGAGGCAGCAGUAGGGAAUCUUCCACAAUGGACGAAAGUCUGAUGGAGCAACGCCGCGUGAGUGAUGAAGGUUUUCGGAUCGUAAAACUCUGUUGUAAGGGAAGAACACGUACGAGAGGGAAUGCACGUACCUUGACGGUACCUUACGAGAAAGCCACGGCUAACUACGUGCCAGCCGCCGCCGUAA